This 163-nucleotide ribosomal RNA is filed under the name Festuca heterophylla. Its description in RNAcentral is "5.8S ribosomal RNA". It matches the Rfam family "5.8S ribosomal RNA". From Rfam's summary of the family: 5.8S ribosomal RNA (5.8S rRNA) is a component of the large subunit of the eukaryotic ribosome. It is transcribed by RNA polymerase I as part of the 45S precursor that also contains 18S and 28S rRNA. Lineage: Eukaryota; Viridiplantae; Streptophyta; Magnoliopsida; Poales; Poaceae. The record is from RNAcentral.
AUCCACAUGACUCUCGGCAACGGAUAUCUCGGCUCUCGCAUCGAUGAAGAACGUAGCGAAAUGCGAUACCUGGUGUGAAUUGCAGAAUCCCGCGAACCAUCGAGUCUUUGAACGCAAGUUGCGCCCGAGGCCUUCUGGCCGAGGGCACGCCUGCCUGGGCGUC